AUUACAUGACGGAAAAACUGUGGC
This 24-nucleotide non-coding RNA is filed under the name Cricetulus griseus (Chinese hamster). The record is from RNAcentral. Lineage: Eukaryota; Metazoa; Chordata; Mammalia; Rodentia; Cricetidae.